UACAGAGGUCUCAAGCGUUGUUCGGAUUCAUUGGGCGUAAAGGGUGCGUAGGCGGCGGUGCAAGUCCGAUGUGAAAUACCGGGGCUCAACCCCGGAACUGCAUUGGAUACUGCAUUGCUAGAGUGCUGGAGAGGGAACUGGAAUUUACGGUGUAGCAGUGAAAUGCGUAGAGAUCGUAAGGAAGACCAGUGGCGAAGGCGAGUUCCUGGACAGUUACUGACGCUGAGGCACGAAGGCCAGGGGAGCAAACGGG
RNAcentral lists this ribosomal RNA (253 nucleotides) under uncultured bacterium. Its description in RNAcentral is "partial 16S ribosomal RNA". It matches the Rfam family "Bacterial small subunit ribosomal RNA", at positions 524 to 776 of the family's 1533-position model. The record is from RNAcentral.